Molecule: ribosomal RNA, 253 nt
Filed under: uncultured bacterium
Lineage: Bacteria
Description: partial 16S ribosomal RNA
Rfam family: Bacterial small subunit ribosomal RNA
Source: RNAcentral
UACGUAGGUGGCAAGCGUUGUCCGGAUUUAUUGGGUUUAAAGGGUGCGUAGGCGGCUUUGUAAGUCAGUGGUGAAAUAUGGCAGCUUAACUGUCAAGGUGCCAUUGAUACUGCAGAGCUUGAGUACAGAUGAGGUAGGCGGAAUUGACGGUGUAGCGGUGAAAUGCUUAGAUAUCGUCAAGAACACCUAUAGCAAAGGCAGCUUACUAAGCUGUAACUGACGCUGAGGCACGAAAGUGUGGGGAUCAAACAGG